GGAGACCCCAGGUCAGACGG
RNAcentral lists this ribosomal RNA (20 nucleotides) under Brachypterum pseudinvolutum. RNAcentral's name for it is "Solori pseudoinvoluta partial large subunit ribosomal RNA". The record is from RNAcentral. Lineage: Eukaryota; Viridiplantae; Streptophyta; Magnoliopsida; Fabales; Fabaceae.